Molecule: ribosomal RNA, 303 nt
Filed under: uncultured bacterium
Lineage: Bacteria
Description: partial 16S ribosomal RNA
Rfam family: Bacterial small subunit ribosomal RNA
Source: RNAcentral
AGCAGUCGCCACGGUAAUACGAAGGGUGCAAGCGUUAAUCGGAAUUACUGGGCGUAAAGCGUGCGUAGGUGGUGGUUUAAGUCCGUUGUGAAAGCCCUGGGCUCAACCUGGGAAUUGCAGUGGAUACCGGGUCACUAGAGUGUGGUAGGGGAUAGUGGAAUUUCCGGUGUAGCAGUGAAAUGCGUAGAGAUCGGAAGGAACAUCUGUGGCGAAGGCGACUAUCUGGGCCAACACUGACACUGAGGCACGAAAGCGUGGGGAGCAAACAGGAUUAGAUACCCCCGUAGUCCCUGUCUCUUAUAC